GAUGAACGCUGGCGGCGUGCCUAAUACAUGCAAGUCGAACGAAACUUCUUUAUCACCGAGUGCUUGCACUCACCGAUAAAGAGUUGAGUGGCGAACGGGUGAGUAACACGUGGGCAACCUGCCCGAAAGAGGGGGAUAACACUUGGAAACAGGUGCUAAUACCGCAUAACCAUAGUUACCGCAUGGUAACUAUGUAAAAGGUGGCUAUACUACCGCUUUUGGAUGGGCCCGCGGCGCAUUAGCUAGUUGGUAGGGUAAAGGCUUACCAAGGCAAUGAUGCGUAGCCGAAUUGAGAGGUUGAUCGGCCACAUUGGGACUGAGACACGGCCCAAACUCCUACGGGAGGCAGCAGUAGGGAAUCUUCCACAAUGGGCGAAAGCCUGAUGGAGCAACGCCGCGUGGGUGAAGAAGGUCUUCGGAUCGUAAAACCCUGUUGUUAGAGAAGAAAGUGCGUGAGAGUAACUGUUCACGUUUCGACGGUAUCUAACCAGAAAGCCACGGCUAACUACGUG
Molecule: ribosomal RNA, 512 nt
Filed under: uncultured bacterium
Lineage: Bacteria
Description: partial 16S ribosomal RNA
Rfam family: Bacterial small subunit ribosomal RNA
Source: RNAcentral